AAUUAAGAAAUAAUAUUUUAUAUUCAAUUUCGGUUUGACAUUUAGAUUUUAAUUAAUCCUUAAUUU
RNAcentral lists this transfer RNA (66 nucleotides) under Acanthormius sp. 3 DLJQ-2021a. RNAcentral's name for it is "Acanthormius sp. QL-2013 tRNA-Arg". Lineage: Eukaryota; Metazoa; Arthropoda; Insecta; Hymenoptera; Braconidae. The record is from RNAcentral.